CUGUACAGCAAGAGCAAGAGCACCCCUGUCAUGGCGUCGCGGUGAUGAUGCUCGCCCGGCAAUCCUUCCACAUUUUCCGCCAUUUCCCGAUUUCGGGCGCCCAGCCGUACACGUGAACUAACAGUCUUGGCUUCAGGGCAGGUCGCUGAAAUGGUCCGCGAGACAGUGGCUGGCGAGGGAGAAGGAGGAAGAGGAGGAGGAGGAGGAAUGACCAAGAGGAGGGAAGAGACAAGAGGCCAAGCAGUGCAGAGAAGGAGCAGAAGAAGAAGGAGGAAGAAGAGGAGGAGGAUGUGACCUCUAUACAUAAAGGCAGAACUAUAUAUAGAAGCUUAUGGAGUAGAGGAAAUAUGUCAAUCUAUGGAGAAGGAGGAGGAGGAGGAGAAGGUUAACUUGUCAAUAUAGGCAGUUUAUAUACCAAGGAAAAUAUUUAAAUGAUUUGUAUUAUGCAUCUAUUUAAAUGUACGUUAUGCACUUAAAUGUAUGUCUGUAUAAGGUUGUGGGAUUUACUUAUAUUGUCUGUGGUAUUUUUUUUACUUAUAAGGUUGUACUGAGGAUUUUACUUAUAAGAUCUAUGGCUGUAUGGAACUCCUACAAACCCUUUCUACUAUGGCUAUUAAUUAACAAAAACCUCUUAGUUUCAGCUUGUGUACAGGGUUAAAAUAUAGUUAAUGUUAGAGUUGGAAGUGUCUGACAGUCCCAUCUCUUUCUUACAGGCCAAGCAGGAAGAAGAAGGAGGAAGAAGAAGAAGAAGGAGGAGGAGGAGGAGGAGGAGGAGGAAGAGGAGUAGGAGGAGGAGGAGGCAACUUAUAAAUAUAGACAAGUUUAUGUGUCUAGGAAAAUAUUUAAAUGAUCUGUAUUAUGUAAAGUAUUGAAUUUAAAAUAUAUCUACUAAUAAUUUCUAUGCAUGUUUACAGGGUUACAUAUUUAAGCUGUAAUAUAAUUUACAUGUAUUUAAAUGGGGUUUUAAGUAUAAGGUGUUUGGUAUUGCUAUACUUAUAAAAUCUUUGGUUUUUGGGUAUAUAAUUCUAAGUAAGUGUUUCCCUACGUUAUUUAAGUGUAAAGUAAGUGUGUAAGGUAUUAAGUUAUAUAUUAAAGUGUGUACCGGGUUCUCUAAUAAGUGUGUAGUGAUGGCAAGUAUUUAAGUGUAAUGUAUAAAGGUUACAUAUAUAUAUAUAUAAGUAUUUAAGUGGGAGCAGCAAUUAGUGGGCUGUAUUUUUCUACACUUUUUUGCCCUUGAAAAAAAAAUACUGUGAAAUCUUUAAGUGUACACUAUGAAGGCUAUACAUUUAUAAGUAUGUGUAACAUCCUGUGGGGGCUAACUAAUGUAAGGGUGAUUUCAUAAGUGUUACCGUAGUGGUGUGACUUAAUCAGCAACCUCUACUGCAAUUAGUCUGAGUACAAUUACUGGUUCUGGUACUCUGAGUAUUAACAAAACCUUUUAAUUUCAGUUACCAAGGACAACCUCUGCUGCUCUGGGUAUCAACUGCACUCCUGGGACUGGUGUAACAUCUGCAUGCUCUCUUUUACAACUCACUCUGGUUCUGCUGUUCGUAACACCUCGCUCUGCGCCUGCUGUCGUACUAACUCCUGCUCGCUUAACCCGCAUGGAUUUUGUAUAACGCCUAUAGUUUUCGUGUGACGGUUCCCUUCGCUCUUCCUUCAUAACUAAUCGCACGGCUUUGCAUGGAAACUCCGGCAACUUACGGCUUAAAUUUCGCAUGAGAACUACUCCUGCUUACGUAUGACAAUUCUCUUUGGCUUUCCUAACAAUUCAUGGAUUUUGCAUAACCCCAUUCCAUUUCCGCUGUCAUGCUAACCCAUACUAAUGCUGGCUGGAGUAUCCUAACCCAUAGUCUAAGCUGCCGGCCAGAGCUUCGGGUGACCCCUAACUUGAAGCCUGUCGGAUCAGCGUCUAGCGAGGGAGGUUCCGUCAGGUUCCGCUCCCCCCUAGAGCUGUCUCCCUUCACCUUAAAAAAAUAGUUUGACAUCAUUUGAGAGCAGCAGUACAGGCCAGGUAUCAGAGAGGGGUUCAGGCCUAUAUGGGGGCACCUCCGUUAGGCUUGUACCUCAAAAAAUAAAAGAUUAAAAAUUAAAAAAAAGACUAUGUGUCCAAGUCAUGUGAGAAUCCUGACUAUGGAGGGAGAUUAUCCUCAAACACGUACGGUUAUAUAUAUGUGUCUUUUACCCACCCAUGCGUGCAGUACGGUUGAACAUUAGAACGUAAGAACGUGGUGGUGGUGGUGGUGGUGGUAGGGAUCAUGUUUCUUAAUGGUCCCUCUAAGCGAGAAAAAUGAGAAAAAAUCAUCACUCACACAAACCAUUUCAUAAUACAUAUCAAAGCAUUUGUCAUCACAUUAUGUAUCAUCUAUUUUGGGGGGUUUAUAUCAUGGCACAAAUUUGGCCCGUCGCUGCUACACGGUAAAGCCACAAAUUUGGCCCGUCACUGCUACACGGUAUAGCCACAAAUUUGACCCGUCGCUGCUACCGUUUUAAAAAGCAUUACCAAGCACAUCAGACGCCCGGGAAACAUACUAUACUAUAUGAAAACCUUACCAAGCACAUGCAACCUCUACCAAGCCUUACCUCAUAAAAUAAUCUACCAAUUAAUAUAUUUGCCUACUCUAACAGUCUACAUUUUCAGGACUUGUAUUUAUGUAUUAAUUUUUAUUGUGUCAUUUUAGUGUUGAUUUGUAUGUCUGUUGUUGAUUGUAUAAUUCCAAGGCUGAAAAGGUCCGUAAUUGGGUUCUCAAGGGUGUGUUUUGAGGUUGAUGGUACAGAGGAAGGGUCACAUUCCAACCGGGUCAUAAAAGCACCCCUGCCUGUAUAUAACACCUCUGAAAGCCUUGUCAAAUAUGUGUUUUUUAGGUUGAUGGUACAGAGGAAGGGUCACAUUCCAACUGGGUCAUAAAAGCACCCCUGCCUGUAUAUAACACCUCUGAAAGCCUUGUCAAAUAUGUGUUUUUUAGGUUGAUGGUACAGAGGAAGGGUCACAUUUCCACAGAUCAUAAAAGCAUCUCGGAAAAUGCCCAAACCUCCACUGAAAGCCUUGUCAAAUAUGUUUUAUUUUUUUUACGUCAUGGCCUAUUGCGCCGGUAGGCUUCUUCCCGGUGGAUCCUGAUGGUCGGCCCAAGGCUUCUUCCCGGUGGGGCCUGAUGGUCGGCCCAGCCCGUUCUGGCGCAGGCAAGUGUUUAUAGUGGCGCCAUCUUGCAUUGGCUCAUGCUGCCCUCCCAGAGCUCAUCUUUAAUCCUAGAAUCUAGAGUCCGGGUUGGUCUUCUGGACAGCAUGUGGGUAGUUUUAACCCGGUAGCAGUGGGGAUCAUGUUUCUUAAUGGUCCCUCUAAGCGAGAAAAAUGGGAAAAAAUCAUCACUCACGCAAACCAUUUCAUAAUAAUAUAUAUCAGCAUUUGUGAUAAUUUUAUGUAUCAUCUAUUUUGGGGGGUUUAAAUCAUGGCACAAAUUUGGCCCGUCGCUGCUACACGGUAAAGCCACAAAUUUGGCCCCUCGCUGCUACCGGGUUAAGCCACUUGGCACCCAUUGGUCUGGGUAAGUUAUAUUUUAUUGGUGAACAUUUUAAAGUAAGUGUUUUUUCCUUCAUAGCCGGAGAACAGAUGCAGCCAAUUAGAUUUCUGGUGCAGGGGAGUUCAUUUUAGGGGGGGAUUCUCUCAUUACAAGCUUUCUCCUCCAACUCUUCCUUUCCCCGGCCAAGACCUACAUAGUGUUGUAACCCAUCCUGUGAUAGGGUAGGUAAUUCUUCUCUUCCUGAUGUCACCACUUUUCUGGGGGGGUCUUUUUGGGUCCUGUUUAACGUAUUUUCCAUUGUUAUAAUCUUGGGUAUAGCUCUGAUGAAUAUGUCUCCUCUUGAUAUGUGUCCUUACUGGCUGUCUCCCCUAAUAGAUGUCUUUUGUAGGGGUUAAAUUCCUGUUCUUUCCUAUAGUACAUGAACCCUUAAGCUUAUAUUCAAUGACCCUGGGUGUAGCUAUAUGAUGGUAAGAUAUAUAGUAUAGUUUAAUAAUUUUAGGGUGGCUUUGAUGAUGCAGUCCUCACAAAUGUUAUUUAUAGGGGUUGAACUCCUGCUCUUCCUUAUAUAUGAACCCUUGCCUAUAUCCUGGCCCUGGCUAGAGAGAUAUUUAUAGUGUCAUAAUCUUGGGUAUAGCUUUGAUAUGAUUCAGUCCUCGAUAUAUGUUUCCUUACCGGCUGCCUCCCCUCACGUAUAUCUUUUAUAGGGGUUAAAUUCCUGUUCAUCCAUACCUAAAUGAUUGACCUAUGCUUAUAUCCAAUGGCCCUGGAGCUACUGGUUAAAUACUAGUGGACUGGAUAAACUGUAUAUGGCUGGGAGGUCACGGUAAUUAAGAAGCUGGAAAAAGGGGAAAUGACUCAAGGAUUAACGAGUACAGUUUUCUUUAUAAAUUGAGUCCAAGCAGAGGAUAGUGUCAGCUGGGUGGCUUAAUUAAACUGGAGGGUCUGAUAUGAAUGCUAUGAAUUUGGACAUGUUAAAAUUUGCAUAUCUUUCAAUGGAACCAUAUACCUAUUACCUGUGAGGGUCAAGCAGUACAGUUUCCCAUACAAGUUAGGUUACAGAAUAUAUAUAAUAGCUUUGUAUGAUUAACUUGUGGACAAAACAAGGUCACAGUAACAAAGGAAUAUCUCUCCAGGGUCAAGAAGUACAGUUUCCCAUGCAAGUUAGGUUACAAGAUGGUGCCAACUUGAAGGUAUGAUAGAAAAGCUAGGAGUUUUGAACCUGAUAAAAAAUGUCUUCAAUCUUAUAUGUCUGAAGGGUAAAAAGAUCAGUCUCCCGUACAGAAGUGGAUGAGUGAAAUGGCCAAAAAAGUGGAGGUGUGGAGUGAAGGGGAAUUUAGGUAGAUAUAGAGAAGGAAACGGAACUCCCAGUUUAACUCAGCCCUUGGAAACUGGAAAUAGCUUAAAUUCAUGCGAGGAUCUAACCUAACUCCCAGCUUAACGCAGCCCUUGGAAACUGGAAAUAGCUUAAAUUCAUGCGAGGAUCUAACCUAACUCCCAGCUUAACUCAGCCCUUGGAAACUGGAAAUAGCUUAAAUUCAUGCGAGGAUCUAACCUAACUCCCAGCUUAACUCAGCCCUUGGAAACUGGAAAUAGCUUAAAUUCAUGCGAGGAUCUAACCUAACUCCCAGCUUAACUCAGCCCUUGGAAACUGCAAAUAGCUUAAAUUCAUGCGAGGAUCUAACCUAACUCCCAGCUUAACUCAGCCCUUGGAAACUGGAAAUAGCUUAAAUUCAUGUGAGGAUCUAACCUAACUCCCAGCUCAACUCAGC
This is a long non-coding RNA of Eriocheir sinensis (Chinese mitten crab), 5287 nucleotides long. RefSeq lists it as uncharacterized. The transcript has 6 exons. Lineage: Eukaryota; Metazoa; Arthropoda; Malacostraca; Decapoda; Varunidae. The record is from RefSeq and is a predicted model, not a curated record.